RNAcentral lists this unclassified non-coding RNA (338 nucleotides) under soil metagenome. RNAcentral's name for it is "partial contains 5.8S ribosomal RNA, internal transcribed spacer 2, and large subunit ribosomal RNA". The stretch from base 1 to 120 matches the Rfam family "5.8S ribosomal RNA", at positions 35 to 154 of the family's 154-position model. The record is from RNAcentral.
GAUGAAGAACGCAGCGAAAUGCGAUAAGUAAUGUGAAUUGCAGAAUUCAGUGAAUCAUCGAAUCUUUGAACGCACAUUGCGCCCGCCAGUAUUCUGGCGGGCAUGCCUGUCUGAGCGUCAUUUCAACCCUCAAGCAACUUCUGCUUGGUGUUGGGGAUCGGCCGUCAAACGCCGCCCCCGAAAUCUAUUGGCGAUCUCGCUGUAGCUUCCUAUGCGUAGUAGUAACAUCUCGCAUCUGGAGAGCGGCGCGGUCAUGCCGUAAAACACCCAACUUCUCAGGUUGACCUCAGAUCAGGUAGGAAUACCCGCUGAACAUAAGCAUAUCAAUAAGCGGAGGA